CCUCCUGCUCUGCACAGCAUCACACACUUGUGGCCCUGCUGCACCUUCCCCAGGUUUAAACCUCCAGACGGGUUGAAGAACGCGCCCGAAAGGAACCACUUGGCAGAUUUGGUUUCCUCCCUUGAAGCCCCACUGGACGUGGAGCAGAUCCUUCGCUUGCAGACGCCCGAGGACAGUUUGCAGAAGGCUCUGAAUUCCCUGUAUUUGGCCAGAGAUCACCUCAGUGGACAGUUAAUGAAAGAGUAAAGGGAACUUGAAGGUACCUCGCUUGAAAAACUUUAAGAUUCUGGUCAUGCAACAGAGAGUGAGUGGUUGGCUCAGCAC
Molecule: long non-coding RNA, 324 nt
Filed under: Chrysolophus pictus (golden pheasant)
Lineage: Eukaryota; Metazoa; Chordata; Aves; Galliformes; Phasianidae
Description: lncRNA (ENSCPIG00010000238.1)
Source: RNAcentral